Unclassified non-coding RNA from Papio anubis (olive baboon), 148 nucleotides. It matches the Rfam family "Metazoan signal recognition particle RNA". From Rfam's summary of the family: The signal recognition particle (SRP) is a universally conserved ribonucleoprotein. The record is from Ensembl. NCBI's taxonomy places the organism in Eukaryota, Metazoa, Chordata, Mammalia, Primates, Cercopithecidae.
GCUGGGCGUUGUGGUGGGUGCCUGUAAUCCCGGCUACUUGGGAGGCGGAGGCAGGAGAAUCACUUGAACCCAGGAGGUGGAGGUUGCAGUGAGCCGACAUCGUGCCACUGCACUCCAGCCUGGGCAACAGAGUGAGACUCUGUCUCAA